Long non-coding RNA from Galeopterus variegatus (Sunda flying lemur), 973 nucleotides. RefSeq lists it as uncharacterized. The transcript has 3 exons. NCBI's taxonomy places the organism in Eukaryota, Metazoa, Chordata, Mammalia, Dermoptera, Cynocephalidae. The record is from RefSeq and is a predicted model, not a curated record.
GGGCUCCUGUUCCAUUCUUCCCGGGACCGUCCAGGGGGAGGGCCUCUAACCCGACUGCGCCUCGCACCUGUCCCCGCACCUCUCCAUCGAGGGGCUCUGGCCCCGCCCCCGAACCUGCCGGCCACUUUUCGGACCCGGCGACCCCACUUUUGCCCCCGCUACCUUUGGUCUCAGAUUUCUGCAGCCAGAUGCCGAAAGGGAAAGAGAAAUAUGCUGAUUGACAAGCAUCUGCCUCCUGGAGGGCUGGGCACCAGGCUGGCAGGAAGCCAGCUGCUUGGGGGCCUCAUGUGGCCACCUCUGCCACCCCACCCCACCCCACCCCCCGGAAAACGAGCUCUGGAAGUGUUGUACGUGCAAAGCCCAGAAUAAAGUGCCAGGCACAGCGACACACAGACCAGCAGCAGACUUGACAUGCAUCAUGAUGUGGGAAGCCUGCUGUCAACUGGUGCCAGAAGAGGCACCUGGCCUGGUCAGCAGGGCCCUGGGCUGGAUCACAGAGAUGAUCCUUGCCUGAGUUUUAAAGAACGAGUGGGAACAAGCCAAAGGAAUAGGAGAAACAGCACUCCUGGCAGAGCAGGACAUGAGAAUUGUGACCCAGGUGGCAGGAGACGAGGCUGAGAGUGAGCAGGAAAGGUUUGGAGGAGGAGCUGGGCCUCUCCCUGCCCUAGAGUGGUGCGUCCCUCUGGGGAGAGCCUUCUGAGUCACCUUGCCCAGACCAGCAAACCCAGAGAGAGGCUGAUGUUAUAUUCAGCAUGCCUGUACUAUCUCUUUUUAAAUUUUUUUCACUGAAAAUGUUUGUGGGGUAGAAUUUGUUGUUUCAAGGGCUAUCUCUUUUCAGACUCAACAGAGCUUUGCUGAGCACCCACUGGAUGCAUUCACUGAAGCUCAGUCCUUUCUUUCCUCUUUAAUCUUUCAUUUCCUCAUAUAAAAUAAUUAAAGCCUUUUUCCUUCCCAGCGGUAACCCCGGGUACCA